UUUCCGUAGGUGAACCUGCGGAAGGAUCAUUAUUGAAUAAAUAGGAUUGUUGCUGGCCAUCGCAUUGGCAUGUGCACAUCUUACUACCAUCUCACACCUGUGCACCUAUUGUAGAUUCCUAGUGGAUCUAUGUUUUUAUUACACUAUGUUGUAUGUCCUAAGAAUUUUAUUAUUACAACUUUCAGCAAUGGAUCUCUUGGCUCUU
This 205-nucleotide unclassified non-coding RNA is filed under the name soil metagenome. RNAcentral describes it as "partial contains small subunit ribosomal RNA, internal transcribed spacer 1, and 5.8S ribosomal RNA". The record is from RNAcentral.